RNAcentral lists this ribosomal RNA (456 nucleotides) under uncultured bacterium. Its description in RNAcentral is "bacterial SSU rRNA". It matches the Rfam family "Bacterial small subunit ribosomal RNA", at positions 339 to 793 of the family's 1533-position model. The record is from RNAcentral.
CUACGGGAGGCAGCAGUAGGGAAUAUUGGACAAUGGGUGCAAGCCUGAUCCAGCCAUGCCGCGUGCAGGAAGAAGGCCUUCUGGGUCGUAAACUGCUUUUACCGGGGGAUAAAAUACUCGUGCGCGAGGAAUUGAAAGUGCCUGGUGAAUAAGCCACGGCUAACUACGUGCCAGCAGCCGCGGUAGUACGUAGGUGGCAAGCGUUGUCCGGAUUUAUUGGGUUUAAAGGGUGCGUAGGCGGUCCUGUAAGUCAGUUGUGAAAUACGGCAGCUUAACUGUCGAGGUGCAAUUGAUACUGCAGGACUUGAGUACUGAUGGGGUAGGCGGAAUGGACGGUGUAGCGGUGAAAUGCUUAGAGAUCGUCCAGAACACCGAUAGCGAAGGCAGCUUACUAAGGAGUAACUGACGCUGAGGCACGAAAGUGUGGGGAUCAAACAGGAUUAGAUACCCUCGUAC